Molecule: RNA transcript, 3379 nt
Organism: Carya illinoinensis
Lineage: Eukaryota; Viridiplantae; Streptophyta; Magnoliopsida; Fagales; Juglandaceae
Gene name: MDIS1-interacting receptor like kinase 2-like
Exons: 2
Source: RefSeq, a predicted model, not a curated record
ACGUAAGGGAAGGCAUAAAGAGUGUUUUAUGGCAUUCUCUCUGAUACAACACAAACCCGCUGGAAUGGGAUCAUCAAUCUUUCAAAAAGUAUGUGUCCUACUGAUCUCCACUGUCUUCUUUGUUGAGUUAGUUUCAUUAUCAAAUCCUGUUUUUAUUUCAGCUUCUUCCCAAGAAGCUACGGCUCUUCUCCAGUGGAAAGAUAGCCUUCAAAACGAAAGUCAAUCUAACUUAUCUUCAUGGAUUUCACCUCCAAAUAGUCCCAACAAUUCUUCUCCCAAUAUAAACCAAACAUCAAAUCCAUGCAUGUGGUUUGGUAUUUUUUGCAAUCCUGGAGGAAGUGUCAUCAAACUGGAACUGAACAAUUCUGGAUUGGAAGGUACGCUUCACGGAUUUUCUUUUUCCACUUUCCCAAAUCUUUCAUAUGUUAAUCUCAGUGGCAACAAUCUCUUUGAUAGCAUUCCAUCUCAAAUUAGCUACCUAUCCAAACUCAUCUAUCUUGAUUUGUCCUCUAACAAGUUGUCAGGGAAAAUCCCGCCAGAAAUUGGCUUGUUAACUGAGCUUGAAGUUCUCAACCUUGGUGAUAAUCACUUAAAUGGCUCAAUUCUUGAAGAAAUAGGCCACCUAAAGUCUUUAUCCAAGCUUUCUCUUUUCUCAAACAGUUUGGAUGGUUUCAUUCCUGUUUCUUUAACUAAUUUGAGCAAACUAGAGUAUUUGCAUCUACACAACAAUGAACUCUUUGGUUUCAUUCCUCUAGAGAUAGGAAAUCUCUCCAAUUUGGUUGAGUUGUCCAUUCAUUCCAAUAUCCUGAUAGGUUCAAUCCCUCCAACGUUCGGGAACUUAAAAAGGCUAACCUCGUUGUUUUUGUACAAUAAUUCACUUUCUGGAUCCAUCCCUUCAGAAUUAGGGAAUAUGGGGUCCCUUGUUCGGUUAAGCCUCCAAACAAACCAUCUUAAUGGUUCAAUUCCCCCAUCAUUAGGAGAUCUGGGAAAUCUUACUCUUCUUUAUCUCUACUUUAAUAACCUUUCUGGCACCAUUCCUGAAGAGUUAGGAAACUUGAAGCGUAUCAAGAAUCUACAAUUGAGCAGGAACCAACUGCAUGGCUAUGUUCCAAAUUCAUUUGUUAAUCUGAGAAACUUGAACGUUCUAUACCUCCGUGACAACCAACUUUCAGGUGAAAUUCCUCAAGGAAUUGGAGAUUUCAUGAACUUGACUAUAUUACAAAUAGACACAAACCAAUUCACUGGCUUUCUACCUCAAAACAUUUGCCUUAGUGGCUCACUUCAGUAUCUUUCUGCAUCCAACAACCAUUUCACAGGUCGAGUCCCCAAAAGCUUGAAAAACUGCUCCAGCUUAGUCAGAGUCCGCUUAGAAGGAAAUCAACUCACUGGUGAUAUAUCUGAAGAUUUUGGAGUCUAUCCAACCUUGAACUACAUAGAUCUAAGCUACAAUAGAUUAUUUGGCAAAAUCUCAAGUAAUUGGGGACAGUGUCCACAAUUAGCCACCCUAAAAAUUGGUGGAAACAAUCUCACCGGUAGUAUAUUACUAGAGAUUGGAAAAUUGACUAAGGUACAUGUGCUUGAUCUUUCUGAAAAUCGCAUAGUUGGGGCUAUUUCGAAAGAAAUUGGAAAGUUGACUUCUCUAGAGAGAUUGAUGUUGAAUGGCAAUCAAUUUUCGGGUUCUAUACCAUUAGAACUUGGGUCAUUGACUGAUCUUGAAUACCUUGAUUUGUCCUCGAACAGAUUGAAGGAUUCAAUUCCAAGUAAUUUUGGAGAUUUAUUGAAAUUGAAUUACCUGAACUUAAGCCAUAACAAUUUUAACCAAACGCUUCCAGUUCCCCUCAUGAGCUUAUUUCAGAUCUCCGAAAUGGAUUUGAGUUUUAACUCUUUAAAUGGAGAGAUACCAUCUGAAAUUAGCAAAAUGCAGAGCUUGGAGAAACUCAAUCUCUCCCACAAUUAUUUUUCUAGUUUCAUUCCGACAGCCUUUGAAGAAAUGCGUGCCUUGUUAUACAUUGACAUAUCAUACAAUGAUUUUCAAGGUCCCAUCCCCAGCAACAAAGCCUUUCUAGAUGCUCCCCUAGAAGCAUUACAAGGGAAUAAGGGACUGUGUGGUAACGUUACAGGUUUGAAGCGUUGUAAUAACUCCACAAAGAAGAGCCACAAUCCCUAUUAUGGGAGCACUUUUAGUUCUAUUUGCUUUCUUUCGAGUCUUUAUUGCCUUUAAAAGAAGAAAGAAAGAUCCAGAAUCAGAACAAUCUGUCAUGCAUGAAGUAGAAUUUCUUUCAAUGACAACUGUCAAUGGAAGAACAAUGUAUCAAGAAAUCAUGAAGGCAACUAAAGGUUUUGAUGACUUAUAUUGUAUUGGGAAAGGAGGAUGUGGAAGUGUUUACAAGGCAAAGCUACCUUUUGGUGUUAUAUUUGCUGUGAAAAAACUCCACCAAGCACAUGAUGAUCGAAAAGGAUUGCAGAAAGAGUUCAAAAAUGAGAUAAGGGCAUUGACAGAAAUAAGACAUCGAAACAUUGUUAAACUUCAUGGCUUUUGUUCACAUCCAGAACAUCCAUUUUUGGUUUAUGAGUACUUUGAAAGGGGUAGCCUGGCAAAAAACUUGGAGAAUGAAGAUUCUGCCAAAGUACUGGAUUGGAAUAAACGGUUGAAUAUUGUUAAAGGUGUAGCUUAUGCUUUAUCUUACAUGCAUCAUGAUUGUGUGGUGCCAAUUAUUCAUCGUGAUAUAUCAAGUCGCAACAUCUUGCUAGAUUCUCAAUACGAUGCUCAUGUUUCGGACUUUGGCACUGCUAAACUACUUACGAAGUUAGACACAUCCAAUUGGUCUUCCCUUGUAGGCACCUAUGGAUAUGUAGCACCAGGUUCUUUAUUCUUUUUUCUCCUAAUUUUAGAUACGCAUAUAUAUAGAAGGAAUGCAUGUUUUGAUUUCUCUUUUCUUUUCUUGGCAGAGCUUGCUUAUACAAUAAAGGUAACUGAGAAAUGUGAUGUAUAUAGCUUUGGGGUAUUGGCAUUAGAAGUCCUAAUGGGAAAGCACCCAGGCGCCUUCCAUUUCCCCAACAUGUACAUGAGGAGGAACUUAAUACGGUUGUGAAGCUUGCAAGAAAGUGCUUAGAUUGCCAGCCACAAUCCAGGCCAACUAUGCACUUCAUAUCCAAUGUCUUAAAGGCUCAAAUUGCCAUUUCCUAGAACCAUCAAUCUUCAUAUGAAGUUGCAGAAAUUAGUAUCUGCAUAUAAUUUUAAUCUGUAGUUUUGAAAUAUCAAGUCAAUUAUUGUUUAGGGUUUAUAAGACGAUGCUACUUUAUAGCAAUUCAUAAGUUGUAUUACAAGUGAUUCCUUGCAAAGAUAGAAAGGAAAGGGUUUUGCUACCCACACACUAAA